This 70-nucleotide transfer RNA is filed under the name uncultured Bombella sp. It matches the Rfam family "tRNA". From Rfam's summary of the family: Transfer RNA (tRNA) molecules are approximately 80 nucleotides in length. Their secondary structure includes four short double-helical elements and three loops (D, anti-codon, and T loops). Lineage: Bacteria; Pseudomonadati; Pseudomonadota; Alphaproteobacteria; Acetobacterales; Acetobacteraceae. The record is from RNAcentral.
CGGGUGUAGCUCAGAUGGUUAGAGCGCCGGCCUGUCACGCCGGAGGUCGCGGGUUCGAGCCCCGUCACUC